UAAAUGGCUUUUCUAAAAGCCACACCCAUCCCUCUUGGAAGUUCAGU
Molecule: non-coding RNA, 47 nt
Organism: Monodelphis domestica (gray short-tailed opossum)
Lineage: Eukaryota; Metazoa; Chordata; Mammalia; Didelphimorphia; Didelphidae
Source: Rfam